AGCUCAGUGGUAUAAUGGUAUUACGGCGGUCUCCAAAACCGUAGAUUGAGGUUCGAUUCCUUACUGGGUUGCCA
This 74-nucleotide transfer RNA is filed under the name bacterium. RNAcentral's name for it is "tRNA-Trp". It matches the Rfam family "tRNA". From Rfam's summary of the family: Transfer RNA (tRNA) molecules are approximately 80 nucleotides in length. Their secondary structure includes four short double-helical elements and three loops (D, anti-codon, and T loops). The record is from RNAcentral. RNAcentral also lists the same sequence under 1 other name.